RNAcentral lists this ribosomal RNA (1336 nucleotides) under Flavobacterium cauense. RNAcentral's name for it is "16S ribosomal RNA". It matches the Rfam family "Bacterial small subunit ribosomal RNA", at positions 93 to 1435 of the family's 1533-position model. Lineage: Bacteria; Pseudomonadati; Bacteroidota; Flavobacteriia; Flavobacteriales; Flavobacteriaceae. The record is from RNAcentral.
GACCGGCGCACGGGUGCGUAACGCGUAUGCAAUCUACCUUAUACAGAGGGAUAGCCCAGAGAAAUUUGGAUUAAUACCUCAUAGUAUUAUUGAAUGGCAUCAUUUAAUAAUUAAAGUCACAACGGUAUAAGAUGAGCAUGCGUCCCAUUAGUUAGUUGGUAAGGUAACGGCUUACCAAGACAAUGAUGGGUAGGGGUCCUGAGAGGGAGAUCCCCCACACUGGUACUGAGACACGGACCAGACUCCUACGGGAGGCAGCAGUGAGGAAUAUUGGUCAAUGGACGCAAGUCUGAACCAGCCAUGCCGCGUGCAGGAUGACGGUCCUAUGGAUUGUAAACUGCUUUUAUACAGGAAGAAACACUCGGACGUGUCCGAGCUUGACGGUACUGUAGGAAUAAGGAUCGGCUAACUCCGUGCCAGCAGCCGCGGUAAUACGGAGGAUCCAAGCGUUAUCCGGAAUCAUUGGGUUUAAAGGGUCCGUAGGCGGUUUAAUAAGUCAGUGGUGAAAGCCUAUCGCUUAACGAUAGAACGGCCAUUGAUACUGUUAGACUUGAAUUAGUGGGAAGUAACUAGAAUAUGUAGUGUAGCGGUGAAAUGCUUAGAUAUUACAUGGAAUACCAAUUGCGAAGGCAGGUUACUAUCACUAUAUUGACGCUGAUGGACGAAAGCGUGGGGAGCGAACAGGAUUAGAUACCCUGGUAGUCCACGCCGUAAACGAUGGAUACUAGCUGUUCGGAGCAAUCUGAGUGGCUAAGCGAAAGUGAUAAGUAUCCCACCUGGGGAGUACGUUCGCAAGAAUGAAACUCAAAGGAAUUGACGGGGGCCCGCACAAGCGGAGGAGCAUGUGGUUUAAUUCGAUGAUACGCGAGGAACCUUACCAGGGCUUAAAUGGGAGACGACAGGACUGGAAACAGUUUUUUCUUCGGACGUCUUUCAAGGUGCUGCAUGGUUGUCGUCAGCUCGUGCCGUGAGGUGUCAGGUUAAGUCCUAUAACGAGCGCAACCCCUAUUGUUAGUUGCCAGCGGGUCAUGCCGGGAACUCUAACAAGACUGCCGGUGCAAACCGUGAGGAAGGUGGGGAUGACGUCAAAUCAUCACGGCCCUUACGUCCUGGGCUACACACGUGCUACAAUGGGCGGUACAGAGAGCAGCCACUACGCAAGUAGGCGCGAAUCUUCAAAACCGUUCUCAGUUCGGAUCGGAGUCUGCAACUCGACUCCGUGAAGCUGGAUUCGCUAGUAAUCGCAUAUCAGCCAUGAUGCGGUGAAUACGUUCCCGGGCCUUGUACACACCGCCCGUCAAGCCAUGGAAGCUGGGGGUACCUGAAGUCGGUGACC